Molecule: small nuclear RNA, 102 nt
Filed under: Marchantia polymorpha subsp. ruderalis
Lineage: Eukaryota; Viridiplantae; Streptophyta; Marchantiopsida; Marchantiales; Marchantiaceae
Source: RNAcentral
GUUCCUUCGGAGACAUCCGAUGAAAUUGUAACGAUACAGUGAAGAUUAGCAUGGCCCUGCGCAAGUAUGACACGCACAAAUCGAGAGUAAGCAUAACAAGAG